Molecule: ribosomal RNA, 497 nt
Filed under: uncultured bacterium
Lineage: Bacteria
Description: partial 16S ribosomal RNA
Rfam family: Bacterial small subunit ribosomal RNA
Source: RNAcentral
GAUGAACGCUGGCGGCGUGCCUAAUACAUGCAAGUCGAGCGAACAGACGCGGAGCUUGCUCCUCUGACGUUAGCGGCGGACGGGUGAGUAACACGUGGAUAACCUACCUAUAAGACUGGGAUAACUUCGGGAAACCGGAGCUAAUACCGGAUAAUAUAUUGAACCGCAUGGUUCAAUAGUGAAAGACGGUUUUGCUGUCUCUUAUAGAUGGAUCCGCGCCGCAUUAGCUAGUUGGUAAGGUAACGGCUUACCAAGGCAACGAUGCGUAGGCGACCUGAGAGGGUGAUCGGCCACACUGGAACUGAACCACGGUCCAGACGCCUACGGGAGGCAGCAGUAGGGAAUCUUCCGCAAUGGGCGAAAGCCUGACGGAGCAACGCCGCGUGAGUGAUGAAGAUCUUCGGAUCGUAAAACUCUGUUAUUAGUGAAGAACAAAUGUGUAAGUAACUAUGCACGUCGUGACGGUACCUAAUCAGAAAGCCACGGCUAACUACGUG